GAAGUUACAGUUAGCUGGUGCGUUGCCUUUGUGAUUCAUCUGCUCUGGUCUACUUUUAUUUUAUUUUAUUUUAUUUUUUUGUGUGGGGUCAGUGUUGUAAAUCAAAGAUUUGAGAAAUAAGCCUGUGCUUAAAAUGACCCAAAUUAAAAUUCAGUUGCCACCUUUCUUGUCUUACUAGGCAUCGCUUCCAUUUCUGUGAGGAGUCGGCGCGUGCUAAAAGGCUGGCGUACAGCUCCAGAGCCAGCCAUUAGCUCAUGGUCUGCCUCUGCCAAUGCUUAAGCCUUGCUGCUGUUUUGAGUGUUGCAAAACCCAAGGGAAGGCAGAGGCGGCCGGGAAGCUCUGCCCUGUGCCGCUGGGCCCGCAGGGAAGGGCUCGGGCUCGGGCUGAGCCGCCGCGGCCGGCCUGCCCCAAGCGCCCUGGCGGCACGCCGGGCACCUGGUACCCGCUCACGGGAUGGCUCUGGAGCUGCGAGUCGUUAUUCCGGGGAAACUAUAGGGUGCCUCAAGCCAAACCAGCCAGCCCAGGACAGCAUCUGAGGAGAAAACUGCUUGAAACUGCUCUUGUUUUGUGUCUCGCCAGCUCCGGUGGUUGUCGCRGUUCCUGUUGAGGAGAUUGUUGAUGUCCACCUUGGCAUCAUUAAAGACAAAAUCGUUUAACAGCCUUGGGCUGCUGUGUUCCCUCUCUCUGUUAGUAAUGGGGAGACUACGUUUCUUUCUCUCUCUCUUUUUUUUUUUUUUUUAAACACAGAAGAACUUUUCUUAUACUUGUGUUUUUCCUAACACCGUUGACUAUCGCUUUCUGUAGGCCUCUGUGGUGUUUGCAUGGUGUGUUUGUGGUGUGACCCAGCGGGGCAGGGGUGGCCGCAGCGCUGGCACCAUUAGACACGUCCAGCCACCGCGGGACUCCGGGUCAGCGCAGGCUGCYUUCAUAUACACCAAAAAAGCUGAUGGUGGAAAACGGUCACUUGAUACCGUAUGGACAGAAUAAAUACAGCUAUUUCUAAGCA
RNAcentral lists this long non-coding RNA (1006 nucleotides) under Dromaius novaehollandiae (emu). Its description in RNAcentral is "lncRNA (ENSDNVG00000006190.1)". The record is from RNAcentral. Lineage: Eukaryota; Metazoa; Chordata; Aves; Casuariiformes; Dromaiidae.